Molecule: long non-coding RNA, 588 nt
Filed under: Pongo abelii (Sumatran orangutan)
Lineage: Eukaryota; Metazoa; Chordata; Mammalia; Primates; Hominidae
Description: lincRNA
Source: RNAcentral
AGUCAAAACUCUACCAAUUGCCAGUGGUGAAGCUGGUAUAAGCCACAUAUCUCUGAGCCAAUUUUCUUAUCAUCAAAGUGAAGACAAUAGCACCAGCCAUACCUUCCUUAGGGCGUUUUGCAGGCUAAAUGAGAUAGUGGAUGAGAAAGCAUCUUCAGAAUUGCUACCCUCUUUUGAACUAUAGUGUUGCUGUUGGUAAUAAUAUUAUAAGCAGAGCUGAAUGGGGAGUUCCUAAGCAACCAUCUGAACUCAGAUCCCUCGUUGGCUGCUCUUCAGAUUUCUCUCUUCAAUUCCAAGUGCAUCGUAUGUAAACAAUAGUGUCUGUGAUAGUGGAUGUGAUUGUGUGCUACCUGGAUCUCCUAGCUGAAAUCCUUCCAAGAAUUUCCUUCAGUCAAUGGGACCCACCUCCCCUGAGGUUAUGGCUCCAGGUGAAGAUUAAACAGCUGUAGAAGUGUCAUCCAAGAUUGACCAAUGCUGUUCCUGACAGUCCUUCCUGGAGAGCCAUCUGCACACACAUCUCAGUCUCAGAGUCUAUUUCCCAAUGAAUCUAAUCUGAGAGAUCUCUUCACUUGCUGUUUUUUCCCUGUA